UUUCAUUUUUGAUGAGACGCUGAAUAAAAGAAGUUUAAUCGCCGGCUAACGAAAACCUGCGAUUUCCCGUAAAUCCCGGACUCGGCCCGUAUAGUCAAAAGAAUACAAAGAAAGUAACCAGGGAGUAAACUCAUUUCCCAAACGAUUUUUUAAAUUAUUAUUUGACCACUAAAGCCCAUGAGACUUGUAGUUUUUAAAAAUGUUUUCAUUUUUGAUGAGACGCUGAAUAAAAGAAGUUUAAUCGCCGGCAAACGAAAACCCGCCAUUUCCCGUAAACCCCGGACUCGGCCCGUAUAAUCAAAAGUAUACAAAGAAAGUACCCAGGGAGUAAACUCAUUUCCCGAACGAUUUUUUAAAUUAUUUUUUCACCACUAAAACGCAUGAGACUUUUAUUUUCAAAAAUGUUUUCAUUUUUGAUGAGACGCUGAAUAAAAGAAGUUUAAUC
Hydractinia symbiolongicarpus is the source of this 445-nucleotide long non-coding RNA. RefSeq lists it as uncharacterized. The record is from RefSeq and is a predicted model, not a curated record. The transcript is spliced from 2 exons. Lineage: Eukaryota; Metazoa; Cnidaria; Hydrozoa; Anthoathecata; Hydractiniidae.